AACAAAGCCACCAUAAGUACACAGGAAAGCAAAUUGCAGCAUAUCUGGAAGAAUAACUAGAUUAAGUUAUUUUGGAUAAAGAGGAGAAAACCAAUUCCUGUAUCAAGUCUCUUCAAACAACACUGAAGUUCCUAAAACUGGGAAUUGCUGCCAGCAAGAGCUGCUCUGAGGGAAAGGCAGUGGCUGUUUACCUGCCCUGUUGAGCCACUCCAGGGAGGACAGGGGGAACAAUUAACUGGUUUGCCUUCCUCACAAUAAGUACUUUCCUGAAACAUGGCUGGAAAGAAAGAAGGAAUCCUAUUGGCAUUCUCAUUGGUGAAAGUCAGAACAUAAGGGUCAGGAUCACAUCCAGUAACAGAACUAAAUCCAGUCCUGUGUCAAGAUGAUGUCAGGGGAUCGCAGAUGCCAAGCACAGGUUUUAAGAUCUGAAGUGAGCUGUUGCUGAUUUCAGUACAUUGAGAUUGGGAC
This is a non-coding RNA of Lonchura striata (white-rumped munia), 468 nucleotides long. The record is from RefSeq and is a predicted model, not a curated record. Lineage: Eukaryota; Metazoa; Chordata; Aves; Passeriformes; Estrildidae.